This 204-nucleotide non-coding RNA is filed under the name Saccharibacillus sacchari. RNAcentral describes it as "GlcN6P sequence". It matches the Rfam family "glmS glucosamine-6-phosphate activated ribozyme aptamer". From Rfam's summary of the family: This entry contains a glucosamine-6-phosphate activated ribozyme that is found in the mRNA for GlmS. GlmS is an enzyme that uses fructose-6-phosphate and glutamine to generate glucosamine-6-phosphate. Lineage: Bacteria; Bacillati; Bacillota; Bacilli; Caryophanales; Paenibacillaceae. The record is from RNAcentral. RNAcentral also lists the same sequence under 1 other name.
UAAGAUUCAUAAGCGCCAGAGCUUAAGUGCCAGAUCGGAACGCCGGAGGACGCAAUCGCGUCUAACGGGUAUGUGCAACUUAAGCUGACGAGGUGGAGGUGUUCGAAAUAUUCGGCGGGGACCUCCCGGUAUUGCAUCAAACCGUAAGCGAAUUUCGGAAAACGGACAGGCGACUGGCCGCACAAACGGAUUCGCGGAUGCUCA